GGCUGUGGCAACGGCAUGCGGCAUGGAGCGGCGGUGGCGUCCGGGCGGAGCAGCGCAGCGACAUGUUUAAUGUUGAUUCUGAUCUUUUUGGUAGAAGGAGAAACCCCAAAAUUGAGAUGGGGGAAAGAGAACGAGCUACCUAUGAAUGGUGGCAAGUCUCGAUUCCAUCGACGAUGCUGUAGCGGGUCGAGGGGACUUCAAGGAGUGCCGAUCUGCUGCUUGGAAUUAGCUUGCGCAUUUUUUACCAGAGGGAAUGGCUAUAUUUCUUGAAUCCGUGAAGGUUCUUGGCAAUUUGCCACUCGCAAGGGUCACCAUGGACAACAACUAGGACAUGUGAAGGCAAGCAUUGCAACUCUGGAGCUCUCCCUGUGCGUUCCUGUCUGCUAUGAGCUCCUACAUAUGGAUUUGUGAGAUUACUUAAUUCAAUGCGUCUAGGUGGACAUCACGAACAAGUACAGCGGAUCCUUUAUUGCUGGAGGCAAAAACUGUGUGUUUCAUUUUUUUUAACGCAAUCAGAUGCAUUUUUCCCCAAACACAGGACACACACAAUUUUUUUGGUUGUUUUUCCACAUGCAGUCACGAUUGUGGGUUCCACAUGUUGAUGCAUGCUCAACAUUGGGGAUGGGCGUUCAGUGUGCAACUUCAAGAAAAGGACAUUUCAAUAUUCGAAAGAUCCUGACGCACACGUGGCUUAAUUUUGGAGAAAAUGACACAGUGGGGAAGCAUGCUGAAUUUGGCAUAGGCUCUACAACAGUGGACUCAAAUCAGGUUCGACAACAGUGGAUUCUACAUCAACAUGCCUAUCCGGAUUCUCACAUACACAGUUUAGUUUUUGUAAUUGAAGAUCUGCUGUUUUUGCAUCUGGGGGGAUAUGUUUUCCCCAGUGGAUUUUAUUGCUAGAACCUAGGAACAAAGUUGCACAGGAUUGCCGAAUAAAAGAUUGGGAUUCCAUCUGCGUGUCA
Molecule: long non-coding RNA, 962 nt
Organism: Panicum virgatum (switchgrass)
Lineage: Eukaryota; Viridiplantae; Streptophyta; Magnoliopsida; Poales; Poaceae
Exons: 4
Source: RefSeq, a predicted model, not a curated record